Molecule: long non-coding RNA, 723 nt
Filed under: Homo sapiens (human)
Lineage: Eukaryota; Metazoa; Chordata; Mammalia; Primates; Hominidae
Description: long intergenic non-protein coding RNA 293
Source: RNAcentral
AAUUACAACUCAUAUGCCUGGAGCCAGGACAUGUGCAGGAUGGGAAAUUUUGACCUAUUGCACCCAGAUGAUGUUACUCUUCUGAUAGAGUCCUGAAAAAAGAGGGAAUUAUUGCAUACUGGUGGGCCCAGCUGCUGAUGAUGCUACAGUCCUUCCUGUGCCAGAGCCACAGACAGUAUUUUGACAUAAUUUCGGCCCAUUUGCCAUGAUGGUCCAAGUUAUAUUGGGAUUCAGCCAAUAGAAGAUAUUUUGCCUGUCAUCCCUAAGCUUAGGACAAUAGGGUCCUGCCCACAAGAAAGAUUGUGACAUCUCACUGGACAAGCACCCACCCAGACUCUGCCAAGAGAGGGGAUUAUUACAUAUUGCAGAGCCCAGCACCUAGGUGGAGUGACUCUCAUCUUUUUCUUCUACCCCGUAUAUAGCCAGCUUGGUGACCUACUAUUUGAGUCUAUACCCAGGCCCAGACCACAGAUGAAAUUGUGCAAUAUGUGGAACAAACACCUAAACAAUAUAUAACACCUUCCUUGGCUCUGUCUACAAAGGGCACUUUUAUAUAUCACUGGGACCAUCAACCAGGUGAUGUUAAUUAUCUUCCUGAAACCUGUCUACAAAGAGAGUUGUGUCGUAUACCUAGGCCCGUCAUGUAAGUGAUGUCAGUCCCUUCUACUGCCUUGGCCCUGCACUUACAGUGCAUUGUGACACAUAACAAGGUACUGCACACAG